RNAcentral lists this transfer RNA (71 nucleotides) under Tagasta indica. RNAcentral describes it as "tRNA-Ser". It matches the Rfam family "tRNA". Rfam says of the family: Transfer RNA (tRNA) molecules are approximately 80 nucleotides in length. Their secondary structure includes four short double-helical elements and three loops (D, anti-codon, and T loops). Lineage: Eukaryota; Metazoa; Arthropoda; Insecta; Orthoptera; Pyrgomorphidae. The record is from RNAcentral.
AGUUAAUUAGUUUAGUGAUAAAGCUUAUGUCUUGAAAACAUAAAUAAGAAGUUCAAAUCUUCUAUUAACUU